CGCUGUGUUGGCAAUUUUGUGUUCCGCGGUCCCUUUUCUCGCCGCUGGCUUGGAGGAGUCCUUCGCUUCUGUAAGUCGCGACUCGGAUCGCGCAACCGUGACGCCAUGAGCUACGGCCGUGCCCCGCCGACCAUCGACGGGAUGACCUCCCUGAAGGUCGACAACCUGACGUAUCGCACCACGCCGGAGGAUUUGAAACGCGUCUUCGAGAGGUACGGCGAUGUCGGGGACGUCUACAUCCCGCGUCACCCGUACACCAGGGAGAGCCGCGGUUUCGCCUUCGUUCGCUUCUACGACAAGCGCGACUGCGAAGACGCCAUGGACGCGCUGGACGGCUACAUGAUGGACGGCCGCGAACUGCGCGUGCAAAUGGCGCGCUACGGUAGGCCUACCGACCCGUACCGCCAGUCCGCGUCUUCUCGCCGCGGCCCGUCAAGUCGCCGGUCACGCUCGCGCAGCCGCAGUCGCCGCAGGUCGAGGAGCCGCAGGCGAUCAAGGUCUAGGUCACGUCGACGAUCGCGGAGCCGUUCUAGGUCGCGGCGACGCCGGUCAAGAUCCCGAUCUAGAAGGUCCCGAAGCAGAUCAAGGGAUCGCCGGCGUUCUCGAAGCAAAGCCAGGAAAAGCCGCAGCAGAAGCCGGCGAAAGAGCCGCAGUCGUAGCAGGCGCAAGAGCCGCAGCAAGUCGAGGGAGCGGAGCCGCUCUCGACGCCGCGAGACCAAAAGGAGCAGAUCAAAAUCCAGAGGCCACAGCCGCUCGAAGUCGAGGGAGCGCAGUCCCUCGAAGCAUCGCAGCCGCUCGAAGUCGAGGGAGCGCAGUCCCUCAAAGCAUCGCAGCCGCUCCAAGUCCAAGGACCGCAGCCAGAGCAGGCACCGUAGCCGCUCAAAGUCUGAGGAGCGAAGCCGAAGCAAGCACCGUAGUCGCUCCAAGUCCAAAGAACGCAGCCGAAGCAAGAAGCGCAGCGAGUCCAAGGAGCGGAGCCCCAGCAAGCACCGGAGCCGUUCUAGGUCCAAGGAGAGGAGCAGAAGCAAGUCUCACAGAAGCCGCAGCCGAAGUCGCAAAGAGAGCGAGCCACGGGAUAGAAGCCACAGUCCAGCGGUGAACGGAGACUCCCGCAUGCGCAGUGCAUCCCGCAGCCCACGAGAGGAGGGCCGAGAAGACUCGCGGUCCCGUUCACGGUCGCGCAGUCCGAGGCGGAGCGGCAGCCCAGCGCAGGGAGAGUCUGACGAGGCAGGCAGGGAAAAGUCCAGAAGCAGGGACCGGUCGCGGUCCAAGUCGCAGGACUCCAACUGAGGCACGUGAGAGUCCUUGCUGUAGGGUAUUCACCCCAGGCUGGGUUGUAUUAUUGGAACGUUGUUUGUCAUUUGAUGUGUGUGUUCUGUUAAGAGUUACGCCUGCUCAAUCCAGCCGCUUCAUGCUUCGUCUUCACAAGAAUGUCUGCUGUCAAGUUUUAGUUUUCUGUUAAUCCCCAAGCUUCCCUUUUUCGCACGUAUUGUGAAGUGGCCUUUAUAUUUUCAUAGCUAAUGCAUUGCCUGUCAAUGUGUCUGCUCCUGUUGAGAAUAGAUAAAAAGUGAAGGUAGGGGAAAUUCUUGACGAAUUUUGUUUAAUUUCUGCCUUGUCAUUUUUGACUGUAAAUGAAUUCAUUUCUUUAUUACCAUUGCUUUCACAUUAGUACCUACUACCUGUGUGUAUCUCUCGUUGACAUUGUGACCAUUACAAAUCGUCAUGAAUGUAUAUCUAUUUUUCUGAGCAGUGCGAGCAAGCAUCUGCAUCGUAAUUGUACUUUUAUCCCUUUUCACUGUAGUAGGGAAUACUGAGCUUUCCUGAAUAAUGGGCUCAGUAUUGACCUUGUAUUUUGCACGUCACAAUAUCUUUGAAUGUCGGAUGUUGAGGCUUUGUCACAGCUGCAUUGCCUCUAUUUCUUGAAAGUGCUGCGUUGGUGGUAGUGCUUUAACCCAUUGGCUUCCGCGCACUGCGCGCCCGGUGCUGCCUACCACUCCGCGGCAAAUGUUUCGCGCUAGCGGGCGGCAUGGGGCGGUGUAUAAAAAUCGCAAUAAAGUCCGCAAGAAACGUCAUAGAACCACAAUUCUUGCUUUAUUCUGUUUGCAAUGCUUUGCUGCAGCAACUCGGUCAGUAUGAUUUGCGUGUGUGAAAUUCUUUAAAACACACAGGCAUGUGAAGCGCAACUUCGCAUUUUUCGCACUCCCACCGGCUCUCGGACUUUUUGCCAUGUGACUUGCAAACUAAGCAAAGCCUGGAUGGAUUUUUUUUUAGCUUUGUUCGGAAGGAUCCGACAAGGAAAAUGAGCCCACUCGGAAGCUUGCAGGCGCAUUGGUGUAGCCGCGACAGGUGGGUUUCUUUGGCCGCGGUAAAGGGGCAGAGUGACCUCUUCGAAAAUCGCCUCGGCGAGAUUGACCUUCCAAUCGGUGUAGUGGAGCCGCUUGCCGGUAGUUUUUCCAAAUAAAACAUAGCUGUUAUAGACAGCAAUGUCCAUGAUGUAAAAGAAAAUUUUCUUGUAGCCUUUUGCGUAUCUUCUCAUAAUGGGAAAAGAAGCAAGUUGUUGGUCCUCGCGAUCAACUCCUCCCAUUCCUCGGUUGUAGUCUAAUACAACUUGCGGUUUCAAAACUGGCAGGCCGUUCCCGCGACCCUUCUUGCCGGAAUCCAUUCACAUUUGCUCCACUGUGCACGGUUGACAGCAUAGUGACCUGCUUUUUAUCUUGCCAUGUUAGAGCCAUGAUCCCUCUCGCAAAGAGAACUUUGCAUUCACCUUUUUUUAACUUGAGCUGCUUGAAGCCUUUUGGCAUAUUCUUGCGGUGUAGACGAACUGUACCAACUGCAUUCGAACCCGCAUCUUUGAGGUGACGAAAAAGUGUAGGCGAAGAGUACCAGUUGUCCAUAAAUAUUGUGUGGCCGUCAGGAAGGCGUUUUCCAACAAGGUCAAGAACAACGGACUCACUGCACAAUAGCCCAUCUGUUGCUGGCGUCUUCUCACUUUUUCGAGUAUAAAUUGAAAAAUUGAGGCAGUAGCCACUAGAUGACUCGCAGAGUUUGUAGAAUUUCACUCCAAAUCUUGCUCGUUUUGAGGGGUUGAAUUGUAUGUAGGACAGGCGACUGCGGAACUUCAUCAGACUUUCGUCCACCGCAACACUUGCUUCGGGAUUAUACGCUGCGCCAAUGGACUUGAGUAUGAUAUCGAGGACAGGCCGUAUAUUCCAGAGCCGGUCUUCACUUUGGGGAAGGCUGUUGCAGAAAUGCAGGUACCGCGACAGCACCCAAAAACGAUGUCUUGACAUCACAGUGGCAAAAAAUGGUGUGCUGAUAACAGACCUCGUCGACCAGUAGGACUGAAUGCUACUCUUCUUUACUUGGCUCAUCAGCACACACGAGGCGAAGUAGGCUUUCAUUUCGUCGGCAGUUGUUUCAUGCCAUGAGGAGUCAGGAUGCAAAAGCUGCCUUUCGCGUGCGAAGGCGUUUGUGUGCAACGCGAUGAUGCUCCAAAUCGCCACUCCAGGAACAGCAUUGAACAUUCCAAGAGCAGUGGGACUUCCACCUACUUGAAGCUCGAUGGAUCUCUUGAUGCCAGGCUGGCCGCUGAAGGAGUGCUUGACAAUAUUUUCCACACUGUCAUCUUCUUCCCAUUGCCAUUCUUCCAUCUUUCGCGCCUUUGGAGAAGGCGGCAAAGGAUCCAGCGGAUCUUCUGCUGCACACACGUUCUUCUCCUCCUCCACAUCACUACUACUUUCAUCACUUUGAUCCUCCCCAUCGUCUAAUGAAACAUCUUCAUCAUCACAAAUGUCACUUUCGGCGUCACUGUCAAACACAAGUUGCAGAAUUUCGUCUUCUGUCAAACCACGCUUUCGCCGCGAUGCCAUGUUUUGAACAAGACCAGUCGCAAUCGCCUCGCUCACUUCGCACACAAAAUAGCUCCAAACGCGCACAAAAAUAACUCCAACAGUGGACAACUAUGUCCAUUAUGUCCAUCUAGCGGAGAACAUAUCAAACACAAGGCAAACACCAACCAAUGUGCUGCCAUCCAUGAAAGAUCAUGAAAAACAAUAAUUUUCUAAGUGGCCGGCGUUUCGCCGGUCAAAGAACUUUUGGCCUCGGCCGUAGGGGCCGGCGGAUCGUCGGCCACGGAAGUCAAUGGGUUAACAUGCAAAUGCAACAACUCUUGUGUUGCACACAGCAUAUCUUCACUGUCCAAAACUUGACCCAAGGGUUUGCAGGGCUCCAAGCAUUAAAUAUGCCGGUUAUGUUGGUGGUGUUUGCACGCUAUGGAAAUCUUAAUAUGGGGAGGAUUUCAUUGUUGAGGGUCUGGUAUAAAUAGUUCGAGAGGCCAAAAGCGGGAUAAAUUACAUGGUAGCUGGUUGCACUAGCUCUCAAGUGCGUCCAGACAGAGGUGACAUUCUUGUCCGACGCAUGCUGCUUGGCAGCUAUCUUGGUUGGCAAAUGCGAUCAAGCUCGCCCAACACAGAUUGUAAACUGGCAUCUUUAGUGGGAAAACUACAUUUUUCUACAUCUCAUUCUUGCUAACUAUAUUCACAAGCAAGCAGGAUAUGACAUUAAAUGUGCAGGGUAGAAUGAAGUACAGCCGCCCCACAAUGAACAUUUCCGUAGAGUUGACUUGUGAGGAGCUAACACAUGUGACGUGAAAAGCUAGCAUGGGCACACAGCUCAAUAAAGAGGAGGACACUGUGUGUCUGCAUUGACAGCACUCUGCAGUUACAGCCUCGUUUGCUGAAUAUAGCAGGGUGGCGUGGUUAUCUGGAAACGUGAUUAUAGAAAGCUUCUGACAUCAACAUCCUUGAAGACAGCAGACAGCAAAGGUGCAGAAACUUAAGCACAAGCAGCAAAACACUUUGGCCUGAGAAACUAAUUAUGCCAGACUGUUCCUGUGAAUGCAACAAUGAAUGAAAUAUUCGAUUGAAAAGUAUUUGUAAUUGAAAGUUUGGGUAAGAAUGGCUGCCACGGGCUGUUGCGCUCUUGUCGGAUACGGGGGUUGGGAUUGUUGGGUAGUUGUGAUGUUGGGAUCCUUUGCUGGGAUUUCGAAAGAGCACUUCUCUGCUGACUUGUGCUGUGGUUGUGCCCCCUGUCAUGCCUGCAGGCGCUGAGCUGUGAGGGUGUUGGUAAGGCGGUGCUUGAUCGUAUGCUGCGUUGCUGCUGCUGCCGUGACUGGUUGCAGCCUGUGCCGGGUUCGGGCGGAGAUGUGCUGUCGGGCUGCACGUCGUGUUUGCGAUCAUUCCGGGUUUUUUCCUCCUUUUAUUUAUUUAUUAUUUUUUUGUCGCUCUUUUUCACCUUCUUUCCUCACCUGCAGGCACCACACCCUGCCCCCAAUUCCUUGUUUCCCCAUUUAUGCUCCUCCUCCGGCCACUUGUUCAAAAAUCGGCUUGCUUGGCUACGACAAGACUAUGUAGGCAUAGGGGAGCACUGAACAAGUUGUGAAGUAGCGCUGCUUUCAACCUAUCAAACUCUCCAAUAUCGUGCAACUUGCGUGCAAAAUUUGGCUGCUGCGUUUCGUUAAAUAUCCUUAGUCUCACUUUCAGAGUGCUAUGGUUGCUCUUGGAAGUAUAGUUGCACUUGACGAGUUGCAGAGCUGUAUUCCUUUGAUACAGAUCUGAUUGGCUGGUAAUAUUGAGUAAGAUGAGCUAAUAUUGUGUUAGGUCUUAAAUUUGUAGUUAAAAAGCACUUGUAUAAAAUUUUGGAUGAAAAUGGCAGCAUCUUAAAAUAAUUACAAGUACGAACUACAAAAAAUGACAGUUUAUUGAAGGGGACGGCGAACUUUAAAAGCAGUGUUCCGUUUAGCCUUCUUAAUCGUUAAAUCCCAGUUUUCCUGAUUAAGAUUUGCUAGCGAUAAGUGAGGUUACACACACGUUUUCUGGCCUUGAAUCAUUCAAGCCGUAGCCAACAGGGAGGGGCGAGGUUAUGGUGCCGCUUUUUUUUUUUUUUUCUGCGGUGGAUGGGAGGCGUUCCAGUUUGCGGCCGGCAGAAGGCGGCAUUUGCAGACCGUCGGUGCGGACGGAGCGGCCCGCGGUUGCUGUCCAGCCGGCGCGGGGCUUGCUGUGAUGCUGUGUGGGAGUGCCUGCUGCGUCGGGAGUUGCAGCUGCGGGGUUGCCUGCUGUGCAGUUCGUGCGAGUGUCUUGGGAUGCAGGCCCGGUUUUGGUUUGUUCCAUUCUCUUCUCAGUGAAGUGUGCGAUUUCUCUUCAGGACACUACAAGGGCAGUGCUUCAGAAGGCUGUUUCAGCAAUGUGCUUCUCAUGUGGCACCACACGAGGCAUCUGCAGUGGUAGCAGUUUGUGCCAGUGGUUCUUGGUGUUCAAUAAAGCCUUGCUGAACCAAA
Molecule: unclassified non-coding RNA, 6334 nt
Filed under: Rhipicephalus microplus (southern cattle tick)
Lineage: Eukaryota; Metazoa; Arthropoda; Arachnida; Ixodida; Ixodidae
Description: serine/arginine-rich splicing factor 2-like, transcript variant X3
Source: RNAcentral